GGAGAACACUUGGGCUUCGAAGACCACUUCCCUCUGCUCCCCAGGGCCUUCCCCACUGGCUUCAGAGGCGUGACUGAGGGCAAGAAGGAAGAGCCAAGAUUCUGUCUACAUGUGUUACCAGAGAUGUCUCCAAGAGCACCAGCAACCCCAGCUAUCUGGAUCUGAAGUGGAUAUGCUCAGAGACAUCCUGGCCCACCCCAAAGAAGAUGCUGCUGCACUCAGAAGACGCCAGAGCUAGCCACCACCCACACUGCAAGUCUGGAAGCUCUGCAAGGACCCAGCAAGGCAGCCUGCUCAGCGAAGGCUUUGUCUCCUGUGGCAGGAAGAGCAACAUUAAGAACAAGAACCCCGGGCUGGACUACCCCUGAGAUUUAAUGACCAGAGCUGAGACCCCCAAGACCACAAUGACUAUGGAGGGCUGUCAUUACCCUGCCUGACCCUCUAAUGCCUCUCAGUUCAAGGAGGCCACUGAGUGAAACUGAAGGCUGGUUUUCCUUGGAAGCCAGCGGCCCAUCCACCUGCUCCACUUCCCUGCCUCUUGCAGCCUCCGCUCAAACACUGUCGUGGCUUGGCAGCACUACAAGGCAGAGUGAAAACAGAUACUUCUACCCACAUUCCUAUCUCCUCUCAUUUACGCAGAUUAAAUGCUUUCUUUCCUUGUUUUACACUGCUAGGAUUUUCAUCACCCUGUUUUUUCUUUCUCUACAUCAGCUACAAGAAAAAAAAAAGGAGUUACUGAGCAACUAAGAAGUCACAACUGUUUUCAGUUUUAUUAA
Molecule: long non-coding RNA, 776 nt
Filed under: Homo sapiens (human)
Lineage: Eukaryota; Metazoa; Chordata; Mammalia; Primates; Hominidae
Description: HSALNT0339832
Source: RNAcentral